RNAcentral lists this transfer RNA (475 nucleotides) under Dolichospermum flos-aquae RPAN52. RNAcentral's name for it is "partial 16S-23S ribosomal RNA intergenic spacer". The stretch from base 210 to 282 matches the Rfam family "tRNA". Lineage: Bacteria; Bacillati; Cyanobacteriota; Cyanophyceae; Nostocales; Aphanizomenonaceae. The record is from RNAcentral.
UCGGUCGCAGAGACUUGUUGAAAGCUUUCAAACUAUGAUUUGGUUCUUAUGGGCUAUUAGCUCAGGUGGUUAGAGCGCACCCCUGAUAAGGGUGAGGUCCCUGGUUCGAGUCCAGGAUGGCCCACCUGAAGAGAGUUAAGAGUUUGAAGUUAAGAGUUAAGUUUCAAAAAACUGAUAACUCAUCACUAAAAACUCAUAACUUUUUGUCUGGGGGUUUAGCUCAGUUGGUAGAGCGCCUGCUUUGCAAGCAGGAUGUCAGCGGUUCGAGUCCGCUAACCUCCACCUAGAGAUAAAAUAGCAAAGGAAAAAGUCAGCAACUAACAGUGAAGUUAGACUGCUGGAAGAGCCAGAGCCAGAACCUUGAAAAAUGCAUAGAAACGCGAAGCAGGCAGACACAGACAUCCAAAGGAUAAAAGUGUAUGCAGUGGUGAAAACCAAUUGUUUUAUUGUUUUAGUGUCAAGCAAUUAAAGGUUU